This 318-nucleotide unclassified non-coding RNA is filed under the name Hevea brasiliensis (rubber tree). The record is from RNAcentral. Lineage: Eukaryota; Viridiplantae; Streptophyta; Magnoliopsida; Malpighiales; Euphorbiaceae.
UGUGAGGAACAUAUGGUUUUAAAACAUCACAAUUGUUAAACAUUAAGGAUGUAAAUUCCUUGAGGGUUAUAGACUUCAAUGAUGGAUUGUUGUCCACAGUAUUGUCUUCAUAAAACCAAUGUGCGCACUCCACGAGAAACAAAAUCCUCUCAAAUGAUUGCUGAUCUUCUUUUGGCACGUUCAAAAUAAACCGACUGCAAAGAUCGUCAAUUAGUUCCUUCGGAGGAAGCCCAUUUUUCGAUGGAGCGCUAGAAGAUCGAUUCAGCCCUGACAUUCCCGAUACCUAAAAUUUUCAAAAAAAAAAAAGGAAUUUAUUAG